Molecule: non-coding RNA, 9020 nt
Organism: Oryctolagus cuniculus (rabbit)
Lineage: Eukaryota; Metazoa; Chordata; Mammalia; Lagomorpha; Leporidae
Source: RefSeq, a predicted model, not a curated record
UCUGUUGUGUCCCUCGGGGAGUCUGGGUUGGCGACUGGGGUCACUUCCCCGGCAGUUUCCUCUCUGGCCGAGGAAGGGGCAGGUAGCAGAUACGUGCCCUGCUCUGGGAGUGUGGCAUUCUUCCCGCGUGGCCUCCCCAUCUGGCCUGGGCAAGCCCCUGCUGCACUCCCGGCCUGACCCAACGGGGGUUGGUGCAAAAGGGUCCACCAGGGGCCAACACGAUCACCCUGAGAGGCUCUCCUGGUGUCCCCGGGGUCCCCCGAUACGUUCCUUGGCGGACAAGCCCCGCAGGCAGGAGUGGGCGCUGGGAGGAGGAAGGGGGAAAAAAAAGACCAAGGGCAGAAGGAAAUGAGCAGGGAGUUAUGUGCGAUUUGAUUCGCAAUGAACAUCUUGUGCGAGAGAAGAGGCAAUUUGGCACCUGUUACUAGUGAGUUACUGGCGGAAGCACUCAAGGCCUAGGAAUUCCACUGUGAAGACCGGAUGAGCUCACGUGGCAGCACACUGCGAGAAGGGUGACCCGGGACGGGCUCUGGACUCUGCCUGGGACUCUUUUCAAGAUAAAGCAGGCAGCACCCUGCCACGUUUUAGGGCCUUCUGGGUGGGAACAGGGAUCCUUUUGCCUGUGGAGAGCAUGAUCUGAUAAAAGGAGCAUUGCCCCCUGCUGCUGACCGGGGGCGGGGUUGGGGUCGGGGGUGACUCUGAACACCUCACUUGCCUGUUUGGUGCUGCAGGAUGAGGAGUUAAUUCCUGGAACUGUCUAAGUCCCUUCCAGCUCCAGACACUCCCUGAUUAAAUGGAAUAAUGGAUUUCAGGUUAUACAGUGACAUUCAGGCCUUGAGUGAUAUUUUAAAAAUGGAAUGGAUGAGUAUAGAAUGGACUAGAAGCUAUCAGAAAACAUGCAUGUGGUGAGUAUUGUUUCAUGAAAUAUACAUGUUUGUGUGUGUGUGCUGGGUUUUGGUGUGAAUAUAUACGUAUUUCUGUGGGCCAUGGUCGAAAAUUUUGAAGCCCACUUGGUUUGCAAGCCUUCUGGGCUGAAUCAGGGAAGGCGGACUGGAGGGGGAGAGACAGGAAGUUCUUGCAAACAGGGCAAGUGAGCUGCAUUCUCUCCCACCCCAAGUUCUUGAGAAAGAAAUUGCUUAACUUUUGAAGAGAGUUCACUGAUGUCUUCCAAGGCCUCCUCCGCGUGGCCAUGCAGAUAACAGUGGAGGCUAUGGCUGUGUUUGGUACCCUGCUUCAUUGGCAGGAUCCUCUGCCUGGUACCAGUGUGCUACCCUGGGCCACAGCUGGAACUUGGUUCCUUUGACUUAACAAUGAUGGUAGCUUUCCAUCCUUCCAAUGAGAUGUUUUAUAUAUAUAUAUAUAUAUACACAUAUAUAUACAUACAUACACACAUAUAUAUAUACACACACACAUAUAUACACACACACACACACACACACACACAUAUAUAUAUAUAUAUGUAUUACCAGAGCCAACACUGGGGUCCAAUCCAGCCUAUGCUUGGGACCCAGCAUCAGUUCAGUGCAGAUGGCAGGCACUGUGCACCCCACUAUGCACCCCGCCUUUCAGUGGAAGCGGGUGAGAAGACUGGCUGCUUCCUAACCUCCCACAACUGGUGAUACCAAUGUCGUCACACGCCUGGGGCAGGCACCACUUGGGGGAGAGUGUAGUCACAGCACUGGUGAGCUGCCGGCUACCCUCUGGCCUCCGCACACCCUGUUACUUAGUCUCUAAGCUUCUACCUUAGCCCCUUCUCAGGCAGUGGGGACCCAAUUUCUUUCCUAGGUUUAGCCACAACAAACCCCCUUGUUGUAGUGCCACGGGGGCCAAUCUGAUCCUUUUUAAAGGUGACCAACGCCAUACACAUGCACUCCUCCCCAUCCUUUCCUUACCCAAACCUAACCCUGUGCAUAUGGUUUACAUAACUCCCGACACCCAGCCUCUUGGUUACACCUUCAGGGCAAACAUACCAAUGCUGCUCUUUGGACUCCAUAAAUGUGCAUAUCCUUUCUGUCUGACCUGGGAUUUUUCCAGAUCUCUGGAUUCUGACUGGCUCCUAAUUCACACUAGCAGAGCCACCUACCACUGUUUGAACACCACCACCUCCAAGGGCACUUCAAAAUGUUCAUGGAAAAAUAAACUCUUUUAAUGCCAUUUUCUGCUAACUUCUUGAAGCCCUUUGGUAUGUGCCAAGCCCUGUACUAGGAUUUUAUAUAUUUAGCAAACUCCAAGAGAUAUUAUUAUCUCUCUUUUAUGGAUAAAGAAACUCAGGCUUGGAUAUUGUUAAUAAUUGCACGUCUAGUUAAUAAUCAAGUUGUUUCAAAACCAGGUUUCUCUAGAUUGUAAUCCUUUGACUGCUGGGACAUACUGCUUUCCCUGGUUCCCUUCCAUAGUCUCCUUCCAUGAGAACGAGGAAUGCCUUCUCUCUUUCUUUCCAUUCUGUCUUAGAAAAAUCAUGACAACACAGGCACCUCUUUGGAAAGAAAAUCUAAGUGGGAUUUGGUUUUGCACUGGAACACCCUCAGAGGGGGCUCUCCAAAAUCUUUAGGCGCAGACUCUUGCCUCCCACAGGCUCCCCUGGCUGUGAGAGAAAGGGCUGUCCUCAGUAUCAGACCGGAGAGGGCAGGACAGUUCCCCAGACCUUCUCCUCCACGUCUGAAGAGGCUGAAUGAGGAGUCGGCCGUGUGCUCCACUGUACCCCUUUCUUCGGCAUUUAUUCGUAUUUUGUUCACCGCUUUGUCUCCCAUCCCUUCCUCCCUCUGAACAUCCACUGUUGCCCUGGAAAUGUCAAUCCGUCAUUCCACAAAUAUUGGGAUAUCAGCAAAGGUCCAGCUUCACUGCUGUGAAUGUUGUAUCCUUGGUAUAGAAGUUAUUUGGGCCAGCGCCGCGGCUCAAUAGGCUAAUCCUCCACCUAGCGGCGCCGGCACCCCGGGUUCUAGUCCCGGUCGGGGCGCCGGAUUCUUUCCCGGUUGCCCCUCUUCCAGGCCAGCUCUCUGCUAUGGCCCAGGAGUGCAGUGGAGGAUGGCUCAAGUGCUUGGGCCCUGCACCCCAUGGGAGACCAGGAGAAGCACCUGGCUCCUGCCUUCGGAUCAGCGCGGUGCGCUGGCCACAGCGCGCCAGCCGUGGCGGCCAUUGGAGGGUGAACCAACGGCAAAAGGAAGACCUUUCUCUCUGUCUCUCUCUCUCUCUCACUGUCCACUCUGCCUGUCAAAAAAAAAAAAAAAAAAAAAGUGAGUGCCAGACCCCUGGCGUCACCCAUUCUGCAGCUGGGAGUAAAAUCAGGGCUAGCCAGAUGCAUAGGACAGGGAUGAUAUGGGAAACGUGUGUGCAUCUAUCAUUGUUGAGACCCACAAGGGCCCCUCCUUGACGUAACAGUGCUCUUUCUUCCCCUUGGCUUGGAACAAGGCAUCUAGAAGUCGUGGAGUUGGACAGACUCUUGUGGGUCAUCUCAAGCAGCUUAUGCCAUCAGAGGCAGCACUAUACGCUACAGUGUCCCUCACAUCCGACUUCUCCUUGAACACUCCCAGGUGGGGGCUACCUUGUGUCUAUCCACUCCAUUCUGGAAAAUCUCAUUCAUAUAAUUAUCAGGUUUGAUCUGAUUCCCCAGUCCUUCUACCCAGGGGUCCCAUCUCAGCCUCUUGGCGUAACAUGAAUUCCAAACCCUCUUCCAUAUGAUUCUCCUACAAGUAUCUGUAGGCAGUGGUGAUGCCAGACUUGUUUUCCUGAGACAGAGCAUGCCCAGUGGGUGCAGUUUUGCAGCUGUGUCAGUACUCUUGGUAAUGUCAAUUCCACUUGUAAGGUAUACUGGUGUGAAUGAAUGAAUACUUAGCUUUUACUGUGUGCCAACCCCAUUCAAAGACCUGAUCUAAUUCAAGUCUCAUGUCCAACCUGGGAGAUAAGAACUCUUUCCAUUUUAUAGAGAAGACUGAAACUCAUGGAGUUAGGGGUUUACAGGAAGGUCAUCGUGUUAGAAAUGGACAGAACCAUCACAUCACUUUAUCCUGAGCCUUUUACCACACACAUGCACUGUUUUUCCCUUGAUCUGAGUUUCACCAGGAUAAGGAUGGUGUGAGACAGAUACAGGCCUUGCCAUCCUUAACUAAACAAGAUCAGGGCAAACUCCAUAAACAGCAGAGCGGUUUCUAUCCCCAUGGACUCACGGACGCAAUAUCAGAAUCAAGAUCAGCUCUCCAGAUCUCAAAGACACGUGUUUGUGCACAUAAGCAGAAACUGCUCAUUUCACAUGUAUGUGCUUAGAGUGGAAAAUAUUGGAGACAUUUGUCACUUUUCCGUAAUAUUUUUGGAAUACAGGAGCCCUCUGGUGGCCACAGUCAUAGCAGGAAGGUGUCCUUGGGAAAAUUAAUCUGAGAUUUCCUCGUCUGAACUUCUCCCUCGCCCCUUUUCCGUUCAUCCUCCUACCUUCGGUUUUCAUGGGCGGUGACUUGCUUUCUGUACACCCUUCCUUCACCUCUAACCCUCGAGUUCCUCCCAGUACCUUCCCCUCCAGCCCCAGCUGUCGCCCCCUGAUCCCCCUGGAAUCUCUCCUCGCUGCCAUCUUUUGGUCUCAGAGGACCCAUUCUGAAAUCUGGCCAGUUCCCCUGCGGCAGGUGCUGGGUGACAGCUGCUGCCUCUGCUGCUGCUUCAGUGGUGUGGAAUUCGAAUCCCUUGUGGGUGUUUAGAGGCUGCACAUGGAUUAGUUCGUGAUGCCUGUUCAUCAACAAGUUUUUGCAGUGUCCUGGCUCAUGCCACACAACAACCAGCAGCGGGUGAAGACCCACAGAAGAGUGAUUCCAAAUGUCAGUCAGUGAGGAUUGACCAGCGACUCACAGGCGGAGGCUGCACUGAUGGCUUCAGGGAACCCAUAAGGGAACAGGAAGCCAAGAGUGAACGGGGCAGGAAUUUUGGUUAAGGUGUUGGACAGUCACCCUGGCUUCUAGUGCAAUAAGAUAAUGGGGCAGUAUAACACUUAGAAAGCACUUUGGACUCUUGAGGAAAAGGCGUCCUAUAAAAUGAGCUGGUGACUUUAUUACAUUAUGGUGCUUAACAAUUAGUGGCUUAAUCACAGGGCAAUGGAGUGAGAUUGGCCUGUGAUUCCCUGUGCCGGGGAGACAGUCCGGAAGGCCUUUACAGGGCCCACUGUGUGUUGCAAGAGGGAGGAGUGCAGCACUUCUGGGCUUCUUUGCAAGUGAGGCCAGAGGAGGGUUCUGCAGAGAACUAGAGCAUUUGGAAAGCUACUGGUUUCCAUCAUCUAGGAAGGGAAUGGCCGGAGAGGGUGGGGAGGGUUCCCACCGUGGGAUACCAUGCAGCUGAGUUUCCGUUCCCGCUGCCUCCUAGGUAAACAGAGUGGCCUUUGAAUGCUGCGAGAUGAACGUAGGCUCCUAACUCAGGAUUAGGGUGACACUGGAAAGCACCUGUGUACCUGCAGAGCUGUAGAAUUCUCUCCCCUGAAGAUAUCAAGGGAGUGUUGAUAGGUCUUAGGUGCGUCCGGGUGAAGCCCUACCUCAAGGAUGGAUGAGAUCGCUCCUGGGGAUGCUCUUUCCAGAACUGUCUUUCUAGAAACACCCUGGGCUUCUUGUUGCCUGAGAUUUUCUGAGUACAUAAUUUCUAGGUGAAAGAGUGAUGCUGAAGUGUGUGUCUAACUCUGUCAUCUUCAUCCAGUCUCUCCAUAGUGCUGUCUCUUUGCCCUUUUAUUUAAAAAAAAAAUUGGUUGAUUGAUCACACACACACACACACACACAUACAUACACAAAGACAGAUCUUAAAACUGUUGGUUCACUCCUCAAAUGCCCACAACAUUUGGGGGGUGAGCCAGGUGGAAGCCAGAGGCCAGAACCUCAAUCCAGGUCUCCCAUGCAGAUGGCAGGAACCCCACUAGUUGAGCCAGCACCUGCUGCCUUCCAGGGAGCUCAGUGGCAGGAAGCCGAAAUGGUGAAUGGAGCUGGACUUGAACGGAGGCACUCUGAUAUGGGAUGCAGGUGUCCCAAGCAGAAUCCUAAUUGCUGAACCAAAAUGCCCACUCCCUUCUUUGCCCACCCAACCACAGAUACUCAGCCCCCUCCCAGUUUCUACCAGAACUUACAGGACCCACCAAGAACGCCUCUGAUCAAGGUAGUACUCAUUUGUUCAAUUUCCCCUGGUUCAGUGUGUGUGCACAUAACCAUGCUGUCCUUUUUAAUGGAGCGAUCAGUUCUGUUAUCACACUCAGCUUUGGGUGAACAGCUUGGACCAUGCCUAUCAAAUGUGCUUUUUGUAGUAUCUCAUCCCAGAGAAAAGUUCUAAAUACAUAUUUGUUUUUUUCCUUAGAGAUCCUAUGGCACAAUGAAAAGCACGCUGGAUUGCAAGUUAGCAGACUGUGUUCCUUCCUGGCUUGCCACCAUCUAGCCCUGUGACCUUGAACAUCUCGCUUUGCUUCUCCAGGCCCCAAUUUCCACAUCUAUGCAAUGAGGAGAUCUGGAAUGAAGAGGCACCUCCAGCUCUGAAAUGCACUACUUCCAUAAAGGUGCCCUCCUUCCGAGCAAUGCCAGCUCCUCGCGGGCGGCGCUAAGCCCUGUGUAUAAGUGCGAGUGCUCUCUGGCCCGAGGAGGCAGUGGUGGAGGGGUAAGGAGUGAGGGGCAAGCAGGUAUGUGUUCAUAGAUGAAUCACUCCCAGCAGCAGUGAGAAGAGACAGGGAGGACUGGUGCUGCUUCCCAUACUACUUCUCAUUUGUGUGCCUACUGUGUGUUUCCUUCCUCCCUCCCUCUCUGCCUCCCUUUUUCCCUUCCCAUCCUGCAGGACUCACUGCCAGCUGACCAUGGCCCUGAAUAUGGAGGAGAACAGAGAUAGGUAGCUGCACAUUUAGCCUCACGAUCCACACUGGGGGCUGGAGCUGAGCUGGGAAGACCCCUGGACCAAUGCUCCUCAUCCCAGUAGGGCUUGGGGGAACUCCCGUUUCUCAUGACAAGGCAGGAUUUUUGCUUUCCUAGGGAAGCGUCAGUGUAAGUGGAGAGAAGAGGCUUAGAGAGUUCGGGCAUGGAGCCGAGGCUUUUGUGGAGGGUAGGAUUCCUCAGCUGUCAGAAACAUCAGUGGAAGGGGAAACAGGUGGUGAAUUCCUGCUUUCCUUACACAAAUAUUUUAAGUGGAUCAUAAGCCCCCUCUUUUCUCCCUACCAAUAAGUCCCCAGUGUUUUAGUGCUCACGGCUCCGAAUGCCAGGAUCUUUUUUCCAAACCAAGUGGGAGCCCUGCUUUGCUACUGGUUGCUGGUGUUUGGGGAUAAAUAGACUUUGGCUCUAGGAGAUCAGCUUUGGUCCUCUCUCAGAUAAGUGACACAAAGAAGCUGGUCCAACUUCCUGGGCUUGACUGCCUUAGAUGUUGUCAGUGGGAACGUGUCUCACUGCAUUUCUGAUAACCAAGCCCAACAUACAGCAGGUAUGUUUGCCAGGCAGGCGAGGUGGGAAGUCUUGGCAGCAGCUCUGGGCGAAACCAGGAAGAACAUGAUGAGGCCAAUUGAAAGACAACGUCACCAGUUUCUAAUGAGGGAGCGCAUGGCAGAGGGGCUGAGCCCGUGAGGACGCCUUUGCUGAGUGUGGGACAGUGAGGGGCACGGAGAGGGGUCCUGCCUGCCACUGCACGGCCCAGAGGAGAGGGCAGAGUCUCUAUCUUAGGGUCUGUAAGAACCUGAGGCAGGAGUUUGUCAGAGCAGUUAAGACACCACUUGGGACACUUGCAUCGCAUAUGGUCUGGGUUUGAGGGUUUGAGUCCUGGUUGUACACCGGAUUCCAAUUUCCUGUUCAUGUGUACCCUGGAAGGAACCAAGUGAUGGCUCAGGGACUUGGGUCCCUGUCACCUAUAUGGGAGACCUGGAUUCUGUUCCCAGCCUCUUGGCUUUGACCUGGCCCAGCCCUGGCUAUUGUAAGCAUUUGGGAACUGAACCAGCAGAUGACAGAUUCCUCUCUCUCUCUCCCUCUUUAUCUCUCUUCCUCUGUGUGUGUCUCCUUCUCAAAUAAAACAGAUUUAUUAAGACAACAACAACAACAAGAAACCAGAACUUGCAGAGAUAGAGGCUGAUCGGCAGAUAGUAAAGCUAAUUAUGUGAGCAUGGAGACAAAUCUGUUCACAAGACAGACGCGAGAUGGAAUCAUGGAACUUAGGGCUAAUAGCAAAGCACUUUCAGGUUUCCCGUCCAGCCCCUUCAUUUUAUAGGUAAAUAAGCCCAGGCUUACACUAACAGUGAUUGGCAGGGUAAUAUUUUCUCUAAGUGUAGGGCAUUCUUAGUACAGCGAUCUAUUGCUUUUGGGGCAGGGGGAAAGCCUGGGGUUUGGAGAAAAACUGACUCAAGUCAGCGUCAAGAUGUCAGUUGCUAUCUGCGACCUUGUAGGAUAAGAAUACCUACCUCUCGGGGCUCUUGAGAGUAAAUAAGAAAAUACCUGUGAAAGCAUCCGACCUAAAGCUUGGCACUGUGCAUAGCAAGUACUGAUGAUUACUCAUGCCCAGUCCAUGCGGAUUAUCAUGAACUUGGCUGGCAGAGUCUGUCCUGGUAGUGAGUGAGUGAACAAACAUUAAACAAGUGAUUGCUAUGUACCAGGAAUGCUUGUAUUGUAUCACACGUCCUCAAUUAUUAAAAUCAUAUUAGUGUAAUGAAUAACUGUGAAGUAGGAACUGUUGUGUUAAUAAAUAAAUAACAGCAGUGGUAAUGGCAGUGAUGAUAAUAGAGUUGGCCCAACUGCUGUAGAGACAGCGUGGUGAAGUGAGGGGAGGCAAAAGGAAAACUUCUUCUGGCAUCUAGCUUCUUUAGUUGGCUUUGGCUUCCAAUAGCAGGUGUUCCAAGGAAUAGGAAUGCUGGUCAUUCGUUCAUUCAUUGGCAGACCAGUUACUGAGUUAUUAUGGGCCGGUUACUUUCCUAGGAACGGAAACAUGGUGGCCGACCAAAGCAAGAUUCCUCCUUUAAGUGGCGAUUGCAUUCUAGCUGAGGCAAUAAGCACACAAGGAAAUAGAUAACAUACUGUUGGGUGGUGAUAAGACGUGAGUGUGAGUGUGAGUGUGGA